RNAcentral lists this ribosomal RNA (502 nucleotides) under Bacillus subtilis. RNAcentral describes it as "bacterial SSU rRNA". It matches the Rfam family "Bacterial small subunit ribosomal RNA", at positions 388 to 881 of the family's 1533-position model. Lineage: Bacteria; Bacillati; Bacillota; Bacilli; Caryophanales; Bacillaceae. The record is from RNAcentral.
GGAGCACGCCGCGUGAGUGAUGAAGGUUUUCGGAUCGUAAAGCUCUGUUGUUAGGGAAGAACAAGUGCCGUUCAAAUAGGGCGGCACCUUGACGGUACCUAACCAGAAAGCCACGGCUAACUACGUGCCAGCAGCCGCGGUAAUACGUAGGUGGCAAGCGUUGUCCGGAAUUAUUGGGCGUAAAGGGCUCGCAGGCGGUUUCUUAAGUCUGAUGUGAAAGCCCCCGGCUCAACCGGGGAGGGUCAUUGGAAACUGGGGAACUUGAGUGCAGAAGAGGAGAGUGGAAUUCCACGUGUAGCGGUGAAAUGCGUAAAGAUGUGGAGGAACACCAGUGGCGAAGGCGACUCUCUGGUCUGUAACUGACGCUGAGGAGCGAAAGCGUGGGGAGCGAACAGGAUUAAAUACCCUGGUAGUCCACGCCGUAAACGAUGAGUGCUAAGUGUUAGGGGGUUUCCGCCCCUUAGUGCUGCAGCUAACGCAUUAAGCACUCCGCCGGGGGGAG